Long non-coding RNA from Oncorhynchus kisutch (coho salmon), 4614 nucleotides. NCBI's taxonomy places the organism in Eukaryota, Metazoa, Chordata, Actinopteri, Salmoniformes, Salmonidae. The record is from Ensembl.
AUGCCCACCUCUACUACAAAACAGAUACAGGACUGCAGUACUACAGAUUUAUACUACAGCCCAGCCCAUCUCUACUACAGACCAGAUACAAUACUACAAUACUACAGCUGUAUAAUACAGCCAUGCCUGGCUCUACUACAGACCAGAUACAGGACUACAGUACUACAGCCCUGCCCAUCUCUACUACAGACCAGAUACAGGACUACAGUACUACAGCCCUGCCCAUCUCUACUACAGCCCAGAUACAGUACUACAGCCCUGCCCAUCUCUACUACAGACCAGAUACAGUACUACAGUACUACAGCCCUGCCCGGCUCUACUACAGACCAGAUACAGGACUACAGUACUACAGCCCUGCCCAUCUCUACUACAGACCAGAUACAGUACUACAGUACUACAGCCCUGCCCGGCUCUACUACAGACCAGAUACAGGACUACAGUACUACAGCCCUGCCCAUCUCUACUACAGCCCAGAUACAGUACUACAGCCCUGCCCAUCUCUACUACAGCCCAGAUACAGUUCUACAGUACUACAGCCCUGCCCAUCUCUACUACAGACCAGAUACAGUACUACAGUACUACAGUACUACAGCUGUAUACUACAGCCAUGCCUGGCUCUACUACAGACCAGAUACAGUACUACAGUACUACAGCCCUGCCCAUCUCUACUACAGACCAGAUACAGUACUACAGUACUACAGCCCUGCCCGGCUCUACUACAGACCAGAUACAGGACUACAGUACUACAGCCCUGCCCAUCUCUACUACAGCCCAGAUACAGUACUACAAUACUACAGCCCUGCCCAUCUCUACUACAGAACAUAUACAGUACUACAGUACUACAGCCCUGCCCAUCUCUACUACAGAACAUAUACAGUAUUACAGUACUACAGCCCUGGCCAUCUCUACUACAGACCAGAUACAGUACUACAAUACUACAGUGUUAUACCUCAACCCUGGCCAUCUCUACUACAGACCAGAUACAGUACUACAAUACUACAGCGUUAUACCUCAACCCUGGCCAUCUCUGCUACAGACCAGAUACAGUACUACAAUACUACAGCUUUAUACUACAGCCCAGCCCGGCUCUACUACAGACCAGAUACAAUACUACAAUACUACAGCUUUAUAUUACAGCCCAGCCUGGCUCUACUACAGACCAGAUACAGUACUACAAUACUACAGCUUUAUAUUACAGCCCAGCCUGGCUCUACUACAGACCAGAUACAAUACUACAAUACUACAGUGUUAUACCUCAACCCUGGCCAUCUCUACUACAGACCAGAUACAGUACUACAAUACUACAGCGUUAUACCUCAACCCUGGCCAUCUCUGCUACAGACCAGAUACAGUACUACAAUACUACAGCUUUAUAUUACAGCCCUGCCUGGCUCUACUACAGACCAGAUACAGUACUACAGUACUACAGCCCUGCCCAUCUGUACUACAGACCAGAUACAGUACUACAGUACUACAGCCCUGCCCAUCUCUACUACAGACCAGAUACAGUACUACAGUACUACAGCCCUGCCCAUCUCUACUACAGACCAGAUACAGUACUGCAGUACUACAGCUGUAUACUACAGCCAUGCCCACCUCUACUACAAAACAGAUACAGGACUGCAGUACUACAGAUUUAUACUACAGCCCAGCCCAUCUCUACUACAGACCAGAUACAAUACUACAAUACUACAGCUGUAUAAUACAGCCAUGCCUGGCUCUACUACAGACCAGAUACAGGACUACAGUACUACAACCCUGCCCAUCUCUACUACAGACCAGAUACAGGACUACAGUACUACAGCCCUGCCCAUCUCUACUACAGCCCAGAUACAGUACUACAGCCCUGCCCAUCUCUACUACAGACCAGAUACAGUACUACAGUACUACAGCCCUGCCCGGCUCUACUACAGACCAGAUACAGGACUACAGUACUACAGCCCUGCCCAUCUCUACUACAGACCAGAUACAGUACUACAGUACUACAGCCCUGCCCGGCUCUACUACAGACCAGAUACAGGACUACAGUACUACAGCCCUGCCCAUCUCUACUACAGCCCAGAUACAGUACUACAGCCCUGCCCAUCUCUACUACAGCCCAGAUACAGUUCUACAGUACUACAGCCCUGCCCAUCUCUACUACAGACCAGAUACAGUACUACAGUACUACAGUACUACAGCUGUAUACUACAGCCAUGCCUGGCUCUACUACAGACCAGAUACAGUACUACAGUACUACAGCCCUGCCCAUCUCUACUACAGACCAGAUACAGUACUACAGUACUACAGCCCUGCCUGGCUCUACUACAGACCAGAUACAGGACUACAGUACUACAGCCCUGCCCAUCUCUACUACAGCCCAGAUACAGUACUACAAUACUACAGCCCUGCCCAUCUCUACUACAGAACAUAUACAGUACUACAGUACUACAGCCCUGCCCAUCUCUACUACAGAACAUAUACAGUAUUACAGUACUACAGCCCUGCCCAUCUCUACUACAGACCAGAUACAGUACUACAGUACUACAGCCCUGCCCAUCUCUACUACAGAACAUAUACAGUAUUACAGUACUACAGUACUACAGCCCUGCCCAUCUCUACUACAGACCAGAUACAGUACUACAGUACUACAGCCCUGCCCAUCUCUACUACAGCCCAGAUACAGUACUACAAUACUACAGCCCUGCCCAUCUCUACUACAGCCCAGAUACAGUACUACAGCCCUGCCCAUCUCUACUACAGCCCAGAUACAGUUCUACAGUACUACAGCCCUGCCCAUCUCUACUACAGCCCAGAUACAGUUCUACAGUACUACAGCCCUGCCCAUCUCUACUACAGCCCAGAUGCAGUACUACAGUACUACAGCCCUGCCCAUCUCUACUACAGCCCAGAUACAGUUCUACAGUACUACAGCCCUGCCCAUCUCUACUACAGCCCAGAUACAGUACUACAGUACUACAGCCCUGCCCAUCUCUACUACAGCCCAGAUACAGUACUACAGUACUACAGCCCUGCCCGGCUCUACUACAGACCAGAUACAGGACUACAGUACUACAGCCCUGCCCAUCUCUACUACAGCCCAGAUACAGUACUACAGCCCUGCCCAUCUCUACUACAGACCAGAUACAGUACUACAGUACUACAGUACUACAGCUGUAUACUACAGCCAUGCCUGGCUCUACUACAGACCAGAUACAGUACUACAGUACUACAGCCCUGCCCAUCUCUACUACAGACCAGAUACAGUACUACAGUACUACAGCCCUGCCCAUCUCUACUACAGACCAGAUACAGUACUACAGUACUACAGCCCUGCCCAUCUCUACUACAGAACAUAUACAGUAUUACAGUACUACAGUACUACAGCCCUGCCCAUCUCUACUACAGACCAGAUACAGUACUACAGUACUACAGCCCUGCCCAUCUCUACUACAGCCCAGAUGCAGUACUACAGCCCUGCCCAUCUCUACUACAGACCAGAUACAGUACUACAGCCCUGCCCAUCUCUACUACAGCCCAGAUACAGUUCUACAGUACUACAGCCCUGCCCAUCUCUACUACAGCCCAGAUACAGUUCUACAGUACUACAGCCCUGCCCAUCUAUAUUACAGACCAGAUACAGUAUUACAGUACUACAGCCCUGCCCAUCUCUACUACAGCCCAGAUACAGUACUACAGUACUACAGCCCUGCCCAUCUCUACUACAGCCCAGAUACAGUACUACAGCCCUGCCCAUCUCUACUACAGCCCAGAUACAGUACUACAGUACUACAGCCCUGCCCAUCUCUACUACAGCCCAGAUACAGUACUACAGCCCUGCCCAUCUCUACUACAGCCCAGAUACAGUACUACAGUACUACAGCCCUGCCCAUCUCUACUACAGCCCAGAUACAGUACUACAGUACUACAGCCCUGCCCAUCUCUACUACAGCCCAGAUACAGUACUACAGUACUACAGCCCUGCCCAUCUCUACUACAGCCCAGAUACAGUACUACAGCCCUGCCCAUCUCUACUACAGCCCAGAUACAGUACUACAGUACUACAGCCCUGCCCAUCUCUACUACAGCCCAGAUACAGUACUACAGUACUACAGCCCUGCCCAUCUCUACUACAGACCAGAUACAGUACUACAGUACUACAGCCCAGCCCAUCACUACUACAGACCAGAUACAGUACUACACUACUACAGCUGUAUACUACAACCCAGCCCAUCUCUACUACAGACCAGAUACAGUUCUACAGUACUACAGCCCUGCCCAUCUCUACUACAGCCCAGAUACAGUUCUACAGUACUACAGCCCUGCCCAUCUAUAUUACAGACCAGAUACAGUAUUACAGUACUACAGCCCUGCCCAUCUCUACUACAUCCCAGAUACAGUACUACAGUACUACAGCCCUGCCCAUCUCUACUACAGCCCAGAUACAGUACUACAGUACUACAGCCCUGCCCAUCUCUACUACAGACCAGAUACAGUACUACAGUACUACAGCCCUGCCCAUCUCUACUACAGCCCAGAUGCAGUACUACAGCCCUGCCCAUCUCUACUACAGCCCAGAUACAGUACUACAGCCCUGCCCAUCUCUACUACAGACCAGAUACAGUACUACAGUAG